Molecule: ribosomal RNA, 385 nt
Filed under: uncultured bacterium
Lineage: Bacteria
Description: bacterial SSU rRNA
Rfam family: Bacterial small subunit ribosomal RNA
Source: RNAcentral
AGAGUUUGAUCCUGGCUCAGAAUCAACGCUGGCGGCGCGCCUAACACAUGCAAGUCGAACGAGAAAGUGGAGCAAUCCAUGAGUAAAGUGGCGUACGGGUGAGUAACACGUGGGUGAUCUACCUCUUAGUGAGGAAUAACCCUGGGAAACCGGGGCUAAUACCGCAUAAGCCUUAGCAGGGAAAGUCGAAAGACGCUGAGAGAGGAGCCCGCGGCCGAUUAGCUAGUUGGUGAGGUAAGAGCCCACCAAGGCAGAGAUCGGUAGCCGGCCUGAGAGGGCACACGGCCACACUGGCACUGAAACACGGGCCAGACUCCUACGGGAGGCAGCAGUGGGGAAUCUUGCACAAUGGGGGAAACCCUGAUGCAGCGACGCCGCGUGAGCG